RNAcentral lists this long non-coding RNA (632 nucleotides) under Oryza brachyantha (malo sina). RNAcentral's name for it is "long non-coding RNA (OBRA_LNC002102)". Lineage: Eukaryota; Viridiplantae; Streptophyta; Magnoliopsida; Poales; Poaceae. The record is from RNAcentral.
CCGCAUUCCCCAUCGUCCUCGCUUUCCCAAAUCCCAACUGCUCCCUCAUCUCCUAGUUCAUCCUAGAUGAAAAUUUCCUGUAGGCAAUCAAGCAGAAAUCUCUGCAGCUAGCUGGUUGAUUAACCUUGAAUUCAAGAUCACUAGCUACAGCUGGAAGCAUGCAAGCUAUCUCGGUCGCCUAAUUAUUCCUAGCUUCUGGCUAAUUGCAUACUGUAACAGUGCUCUCAGAUCUCGAUACACGGGAGAAAGAAUUCAUCAGUUUCUUGCCAUUUCCUUCCAGCUCCAGAUCAUCUCUCUACUUCUCUAGCUAGCUAGAUACAAACCAUCUACAGUUGCAUCAUCUCUGCUCGAUCCUUCACUGAAAUAUUCCUUGUACUUGCACAUGAUCAUACCACUGGCUAGCUAGCUUCUCUCCAUUCUCUCCUUGCUGUUCCCAAAGUUGCAAUGGAGUUUAAUUUGCAUGGAUUUAGCUUAAGUAGCUAGACGGCAGCAGCUAGCUUGGAGAGAGUGAGAGUGAGAUCAGUGAGAGACCACGUGUGGCUGGGUUCCAGGCAACAAGCAAGCGCACGGCCCUCUAUAUAUGCCGUGUACAAGCACCAAAUCCGUGCCUCAAACCGCGCAAAGUGUACGAG